AGAGUUUGAUCAUGGCUCAGGACGAACGCUGGCGGCGUGCUUAACACAUGCAAGUCGAGCGGAAAGGCCCUUCGGGGUACUCGAGCGGCGAACGGGUGAGUAACACGUGAGCAACCUGCCCUUAGCUUCGGGAUAGCUCCGGGAAACCGGAAUUAAUACCGAAUACGACCACGGCUGACAUCGGCUGUGGUGGAAAGGAC
This 200-nucleotide ribosomal RNA is filed under the name uncultured bacterium. RNAcentral describes it as "partial 16S ribosomal RNA". It matches the Rfam family "Bacterial small subunit ribosomal RNA", at positions 8 to 210 of the family's 1533-position model. The record is from RNAcentral.